Molecule: RNA transcript, 859 nt
Organism: Mandrillus leucophaeus (drill)
Lineage: Eukaryota; Metazoa; Chordata; Mammalia; Primates; Cercopithecidae
Gene name: T-cell receptor gamma chain V region PT-gamma-1/2-like
Exons: 2
Source: RefSeq, a predicted model, not a curated record
ACUUCUCUCUGCCUGUGUCUUAGAAAGACCAGCUCCUCCUGCUGUCUUCUGUGCUAGGGAUCACUUCCUUGUUGAGUGGCACCUGAAUUUUGAGAGGUUCCUCUGCUCCUCUUCAUCUGAUCCCUUUCCUUCCAAGGCCCCGCAGAGGAAGGCAUGCGGUGGGCCCUAGCCCUGGUUCUAGCUCUCCUGUCUCCUGCCAGUCAGAAAUCUUCCAACUUGGAAGGGAAAACGAAGUCAAUCACCGGGCCUACUGGGUCACCUGCUGAAAUCACCUGUGAUCUUCCUGGAGUCAGUACCUUAUACAUCCACUGGUACCUACACCAGGAGGGGAAGGCCCCACAGCGUCUUCUAUACUAUGAACCCUACUACUUCACGGUUGUGUUGGAAUCAGGAAUCAGUCCAGGAAAGUAUGACACUGCAAGCACAAGGAAGAGCUGGAAUUUGAGACUGCAAAAUCUAAUUGAAAAUGAUUCUGGGAUCUAUUACUGUGCCACCUGGGACAGGCACCAUGAUUCAGACCUGCCCUACACCACACUAAAAAUCUGCCUGUGGUUGCUUCUGGUACACAAGAUAGACCAGCCAACUCUUAUUUCCUGCCCUGAAUUUACUGUAUUCUGUACAAAGAGAAACACAGCUUAACUCCUGCUCUCCCCCCUAAUAUCACACUCCCCUGGGCAGCAGCUGCAUCCUGUUCCCCACUCUCCCCCAGGACUUUCCCGAAGACCAAGUUGCCAUCUCCAGGCCUCAGCUCAGCAGCCUGGCUGAGGUCUCCUAGGACAUGGGGGAGGCCCACUCACUCUGCUUCCUAGGACAGACAGGUACACCUAGAGUCCAACUGUGAAGCAAGAUAUUUUGGACA